Molecule: non-coding RNA, 178 nt
Organism: Vicia faba (fava bean)
Lineage: Eukaryota; Viridiplantae; Streptophyta; Magnoliopsida; Fabales; Fabaceae
Source: the annotation of a GenBank genome assembly
UGGCAGUGGUGGAAAUGUUGAAUUAGGUGAAAGUGGAACUUCAAGAAAUCCAACAUUGGUUAACGAUGAAGAAGGUGUUUCAUUUGGGGUAUAUUUUUGUGAUGAUACUCAAGAUCUUGAUGAAAAAGAUGGUAAUGGUAUUGGUAGUGAUCAUUUCAUUGGAGCUUUUGAUGUUUGA